CCGGGACCCGGACCCGGCCGCGGACCCCCCCCCCCCCGGCCGCUCGCCCGCAGCCCCUCUCCGUGCGCGGCGCGGGGGAGGUGACCAGCUGAGUUUCUGAAGCAAGUGAUGGGAUUACAGUCAUCGCCAUAACGCAGAGCAACAAGCAUUACAAGUGCGUUUAAGGAAUACCCUGGCAGCUCGUUCGACCUGGAAAAGCCAGCUUCGGCCCACCCGACUCCUGCAACGACUCUGCCACAGGACCAAGAAACUGAACGUGAGAAGAUACUCAAGAGGCCCGAUGUAAACCAGGAGGCGGCACAUGGGCACAGGCGCCGAGGAGGGAGGGCCGAGGCAGGCGAGGAUCCUCUGCCUCAUUCAGCACAUAGGAAGGACCUGCUCAGAAGAGGGGCCAUCACCAGCAAGGCUUUUGUCCACAGAAUUUCUUGUGCAAUUUGCUGAGGAAGUUGGGAGUUGUAUAUAAAACCAGAAGACAAUGGAGUGGUGGUAGUGAAACCUAGCUCCCUUUUUUAAAAGAAAUCUAAAUAAGGAAUACAAAACACUCUGGAGAUUUUAUGCUGGUACCUCCACUUCCCAGACACCACACAGUAACUCUGUAGUUUUUUCAGAUGCCCAGUCAGGGUGCAUAUUUCCCACUUUCUGGGUGAGUGGCAAUGCAGCAGAUAUGGAUCUUUUGUUCACUUGGGCAUUUUUUUUUCUGUAUUAAUAGUAUAAUUAAUUAUUCACCAAUGGAAUUUAAAUAGCACUGACCCAAUCUCUCCAUUCUCUUCAGCAGACUUUGUUCCUUGUUGCCGAGUUAGGAAUUUGGGGACCAACAACAGCCAUCAUCUCAGCAUGUUUUCCUUCACAUUCAUUAGCUUGACUGAUUUUGAUUUGUACUGAAAAACAAACAAAAAAAGACUUUGUCCACUGUUUAGGAGCUGCUGUAGGCUCCUAAGAUGACACAUUUAACAACAAGGAAAUGAUCCAGAGAUCAUCUUUCUAGACAGGAGUUCAACAGACAUACAAGCCUCAAGAAGGAGCAAAUGCUCUACUGUCACCCCUUAGGAAAAAAGGCAUUUCAAUACUGCUGUUUUAAGAUUAAUUUCAUACCAGGCACUAGGAAGAGGAAAAAAUCCAAAGAUGACCACAGUCUUGUUUUCAGCAAACAGAUCUCCUUUCCCUUUUCCUGCUGUCUCUUCCUCCUCCUCCAGGAAAAGAAAAGAACAACAGCUGGUACCUUCCUCAAGCAAGAGUUUAAUGUUUAUGAAAACAUUGAGAGUCAAAGUGAAAAGCAUGCAAGAUACAAAAAUAAGAACAGCCUGAAGUUGCUCCCCUCCAGCCUACUAGAAACUUUUAUAAUUGGACUUGGUUAUAGAAUAGCUGCUUGCUGAGACACAACUGGAAGUCAUGAGUCAUCUCCUACUCCCACCUCUAACAGAGCUCUCCUCAGGGUAGUCUCUCAAAAUCAGCAUUUUGCUUCACCCCUCCACUCUCCCUACAGGCAGUUACCUGGUGGCGUCUUGCAGAACUACUGAAGAAACUAAGAUGACAAGACACCUAUAAUACAAACAAUAUUAAAUGUAAAAGCAGUAGAAACAGAUGGGAGGGUACACAUUAUGGUACUUAUUCUCUAAGGGGGGAGUUCAACUAUACUGCCUUCAAAAAGUCCCACCUGCUUUCACACACAUUUUAGGACUGCUAAAGCAGCCCCCUGCUGGGGGUGUGGGGGGCACGUUUUCCAGUUCCUAGCAAAACCACUCCUUCGCAAACAUCAGAGUUCCAAGUUCCCCGCAAACACACAAGCCUUAGGCCUUGAAACACAGGCUGAAGAUUUCUUAUAUGCUGAAUGGCCAAAAAAAAAACCACACACAUCCAUAGAAAACAGCAGAAGUCAGCUAAGAACACUGCAGUUAAACUUGGAGAGAUAAUGGAACUUCAUCGCUCAGUUUAAAUCAAGGACUUGUAAAACACCACAGAACAAGAAACAAAUACUACCUUUUGUUACCUUAUAAGCAUGUAAUAUGGUGCACUACUACUGGAAUGAUUUAACAUUGUUUUAUGCGGUUUAUUCCCAGAUAUCAACAGGCCUUUUUUUUUCAUAUUUUUUUCUGCAUAUACACAAGGGAGGGAAGGGAAAAAGCAAAUAAAGGAAAUACAAUGCUUUCCUUCUUAACCUUAUAUAUAUCAAGGUAAAAAAAAUUGGCAUUUCCUAUGUUAUAUGCACUUAGGAAUUGCCUCAUCUCAGGCACUGGGGACAUUACUUUGCUAACUCUUUCAGGGAAUUAUAGCAUGGCCUACAAAACUUAUUUAGCACCUUAUAUAGCUACACAUUCUAGAAGACUUACGAAGUAAAUACCAUCAAUAUGCAUAAUUUGUGCAAGUGACUCUACACACAGCAAUUAAACAGCUUAAUUUUUGAAAGCUGCUGAAAGCUAAUCCAUCCCCCACAACCAUGAUAGUGUAGAUGAAGCAGGAGUAAGCAGCUUAAGAUUAUUUUCCACACAAAUGAACUGCCACUACUGCAGCUAUCAGGCAGAGUACUGAUUCCGUGACAAACAUUAAAUACACAUUAAAUACAGUUUGUAUGUUUUUCUUAUUUAUUCAAAAGCUAGAGGAUGACAAAAAAAGGGUUAAAAUGCUUUAUGCCACCUAUUUAUUUUACAUGAACAAAUACUUAAUCUAUCAAAGAGACUCAUUUUACAAGUCCCCGUCCAAAAAACACACACAAAUUUGUUUUUAUACACAAAUGUUUAUUUCUCAAAUAAACAUCCCCUUUAAACACAAGGAAUGAAAUCUUCAUAAAGAUGAAUCCAAAAUGAAAUCCCUCCAGUACAUUGUAAUCACUGCUCUUGGUCACUACUGGCUUUAACUGUUAAACAUCAAAAAACAAGGACAUAUUUAAAAAAUCAUGCUACUGGAUUUCUAGCUCUGCCUCUGACCAACUCUAUACCGUUCUCCAAUAUUUUAAAAUUUUACAUCAUCAAAUAUGAAGCAAGUUUAAUUGCAGAACAGCUGUGCAUUAAACACAAACAACUGAACAAGAAGAUUAUAAGAUGUAGUCAAGUUCAUAACGAAUGUAGGUGUUCUUUUCAUCAUUAUAGAUUCUUGGAUAAUGUGCUAUCAGAGCGUCCUGUGAGCCAAUAUAGAUUGAAUUAUAAAUCUUCCAAUAUACAUCUCUGACUUUGCGGGCAGGGUGAAACAAACCCUAAAAAACAAAACAAUUCUAUUAUAAAUUUAGAGUUCCAAAUAUCUGUUACUGAGUUUAAUCUAGUUUUGCAUAAUACACAUUUUUUUUAAAAAAAGAAGCAAUUAAAAAAUUAACAUUACUUAAAGAAGGUACAUUGAAUGGGUCAUUCCCAAUUUUGUGACCAUCUAAGCUAGCAAGUAGUAAUGAACUGUUGUUAAAGACAAUUUUCUUAUUUUUUGUUGUGUAGAAUUCCACUAAAUGUAUUUCUUUUCUACUGUCCCUUUAAGAUAAAAAUUAAAAUCUGAUGCUGUA
Rhea pennata is the source of this 3481-nucleotide long non-coding RNA. RefSeq lists it as uncharacterized. The record is from RefSeq and is a predicted model, not a curated record. The transcript has 4 exons. NCBI's taxonomy places the organism in Eukaryota, Metazoa, Chordata, Aves, Rheiformes, Rheidae.